Molecule: ribosomal RNA, 408 nt
Filed under: uncultured bacterium
Lineage: Bacteria
Description: partial 16S ribosomal RNA
Rfam family: Bacterial small subunit ribosomal RNA
Source: RNAcentral
GACGAACGCUGGCGGCGUGCUUAACACAUGCAAGUCGAACGAAGUGGCGAACGGGUGAGUAACGCGUAAUAAACAUGCCCUUCAGAGGGGGACAACAGUUGGAAACGACUGCUAAUACCGCAUACUGAAGGAGGGGAUUGCGUCUGAUUAGCUAGUUGGAGGGGUAACGGCCCACAAAGGCGAUGAUCAGUAGCCGGUCUGAGAGGAUGAACGGCCACAUUGGGACUGAGACACGGCCCAGACUCCUACGGGAGGCAGCAGUAGGGAAUCUUCCGCAAUGGACGCAAGCCUGAUCCAGCCAUGCCGCGUGUCUGAAGAAGGCCUUCGGGUUGUAAAGGACUUUUGUCAGGGAAGCGGUACCUGAAGAAUAAGCACCGGCUAACUACGUGCCAGCCGCCGCGGUAAUAC